AGUUCUGGAGACGAGGCAGAGCUCACUUGUUGAGGGUUUGUAAAUGUGGUUACUUGCCUGUGCAGCGUGAUUUUGUGAGACCGGAAGAGGACAC
Non-coding RNA from Vicugna pacos (alpaca), 94 nucleotides. NCBI's taxonomy places the organism in Eukaryota, Metazoa, Chordata, Mammalia, Artiodactyla, Camelidae. The record is from RefSeq and is a predicted model, not a curated record.